AACGUGCUCCGAGAUGCGGUGGAAGUCCGCACCGGCGGUGACAGCCCGCUAACCGCGCGGCCCGUCCUCAUCCGAGGCGGUGCCGGGCGGCCUGACCGGUGGAAUUCCGGUGCCGACCGUACAGUCGGGAUGGGAGAGGCACGCG
Regulatory RNA element from Micrococcus luteus NCTC 2665, 145 nucleotides. It matches the Rfam family "FMN riboswitch aptamer (RFN element)". From Rfam's summary of the family: The RFN element is a highly conserved domain that is found frequently in the 5'-untranslated regions of prokaryotic mRNAs that encode for flavin mononucleotide (FMN) biosynthesis and transport proteins. Lineage: Bacteria; Bacillati; Actinomycetota; Actinomycetes; Micrococcales; Micrococcaceae. The record is from Rfam.